AUGGCGACCCUCAUGUCAUGCGUUACUUCCAAAACGUUGGCGCCAUGCACACCAGAGGUUUCUCGGCAACAACGGGACACAUGUAUUUGGGUAUCAGCUCAUCGCCGGCAGAUCCGAAUCGGCUUAACCAUGAAGUCUUGGGGCACCAGCUGUACUGUUCCGCCGAUGCGGAUAAGAGGAGCAACACGAAUUACUGCAGUUGGUUCCGCUCCUGGAGAAUUGCUAGAAGAAAAAUCACCAAUACCCAACAAAGAGGCCGCAAUUAGUUCUGACCCUGGGGAAUUACCAGGAAAAUCCCCGCCGCCCAACAAAUCUUCAUUGGUAACGGUGGUCGUUGGUGGCGUCUUUGGAGCAGUAUCCUUUUACGGACAGAUGAGAGCAAUGGAAGAGAAUGUGGAGAAGACAGCAGAGGUAGCAAUCGAGACUAUCGAGAAAGCGGCGGAUGUGGUUGACAAACUUGCUGACGAAGUCAUAGCAUUUCCUGGUAAUGAAAACCUUAAGAAGGCAGCCUUCAGGAUCAAAGCCAUCGCGGGAGAGAUAGAGAAGGAUGCAGAGGAAGCCGAGGCCCUAAUCCACAAGGUUGAAGAGAUAGAAAAGGAGGUGGAUGCUGCAGUGGAUACUUUCAUGGGGAAGGGCAUGAAGAAGGGAUCGAGAUGA
This 657-nucleotide ribosomal RNA is filed under the name Triticum aestivum (bread wheat). Its description in RNAcentral is "partial small subunit ribosomal RNA". The record is from RNAcentral. Lineage: Eukaryota; Viridiplantae; Streptophyta; Magnoliopsida; Poales; Poaceae.